GGGUGAGAUACACGAAAGCGAGAACGACAAAAAGGAGUAUAGAACAUACCAGAGGUGAACGUUGUCAUCCUAAUUUCCUACAAACUUGACUUACAAACUUACAAAAAGGCAACAGUAGUAUACCGGUGUUCAAAAGUCAGAAAUCGAUUGAAAGAAGACAAAUCCGAGUUACAAAUUAAACUUAAAUCGAUUGUAACACCUCAACUAUAAGAG
This 213-nucleotide long non-coding RNA is filed under the name Mytilus galloprovincialis (Mediterranean mussel). Lineage: Eukaryota; Metazoa; Mollusca; Bivalvia; Mytilida; Mytilidae. The record is from RNAcentral.